RNAcentral lists this microRNA precursor (103 nucleotides) under Marmota monax (woodchuck). The record is from RNAcentral. Lineage: Eukaryota; Metazoa; Chordata; Mammalia; Rodentia; Sciuridae.
AGAGGGAUAGCUGGGUCAAAUGGUGGUUUUAUUUCAAGUUGUCCAAGGAAUCUCCAUACUGCUUUUCAUAUUGAUUGCACCAAUUUUCAGUCCCACCAGCAAU